RNAcentral lists this ribosomal RNA (309 nucleotides) under uncultured eukaryote. Its description in RNAcentral is "partial 18S ribosomal RNA". It matches the Rfam family "Eukaryotic small subunit ribosomal RNA", at positions 1470 to 1796 of the family's 1831-position model. The record is from RNAcentral.
CCCUUAGAUGUUCUGGGCGGCCCGCGCACUACAUUGGCACUAGCAAAGAGAUCCUAGAUUGAAUUCUUUGGGGUAUUCUUCUAAAUGGUGUCGUGACUGGGAUAAAUCCUUGUAAUUAUUGGUUUUGAACGAGGAAUUCCUUGUAAUCGCGGUUUAUCAGCUCGCGUUGAAUGCGUCCCUGCCCUUUGUACACACCGCCCGUCGCUCCUACCGAUGGAUCGUCCGGUGAAGCUCACGGAGUGACUGUUCACGCAACGGUUUGCGAAGUGAAAUGGACCUCACGAUUUAGAGGAAGGAGAAGUCGUAACA